This 395-nucleotide ribosomal RNA is filed under the name uncultured bacterium. RNAcentral's name for it is "partial 16S ribosomal RNA". It matches the Rfam family "Bacterial small subunit ribosomal RNA", at positions 524 to 918 of the family's 1533-position model. The record is from RNAcentral.
UACAGAGGGUGCAAGCGUUAAUCGGAUUUACUGGGCGUAAAGCGCGCGUAGGUGGCUAAUUAAGUCAAAUGUGAAAUCCCCGAGCUUAACUUGGGAAUUGCAUUCGAUACUGGUUAGCUAGAGUAUGGGAGAGGAUGGUAGAAUUCCAGGUGUAGCGGUGAAAUGCGUAGAGAUCUGGAGGAAUACCGAUGGCGAAGGCAGCCAUCUGGCCUAAUACUGACACUGAGGUGCGAAAGCAUGGGGAGCAAACAGGAUUAGAUACCCUGGUAGUCCAUGCCGUAAACGAUGUCUACUAGCCGUUGGGGCCCUUGAGGCUUUAGUGGCGCAGCUAACGCGAUAAGUAGACCGCCUGGGGAGUACGGUCGCAAGACUAAAACUCAAAUGAAUUGACGGGG